UACGUAGGGUGCAAGCGUUAAUCGGAAUUACUGGGCGUAAAGCGUGCGCAGGCGGUUUUGUAAGUCUGAUGUGAAAUCCCCGGGCUCAACCUGGGAAUUGCAUUGGAGACUGCAAGGCUAGAAUCUGGCAGAGGGGGGUAGAAUUCCACGUGUAGCAGUGAAAUGCGUAGAGAUGUGGAGGAACACCGAUGGCGAAGGCAGCCCUCUGGGUCAAGAUUGACGCUCAUGCACGAAAGCGUGGGGAGCAAACAGG
RNAcentral lists this ribosomal RNA (253 nucleotides) under uncultured bacterium. RNAcentral's name for it is "partial 16S ribosomal RNA". It matches the Rfam family "Bacterial small subunit ribosomal RNA", at positions 524 to 776 of the family's 1533-position model. The record is from RNAcentral.